RNAcentral lists this ribosomal RNA (492 nucleotides) under uncultured bacterium. Its description in RNAcentral is "partial 16S ribosomal RNA". It matches the Rfam family "Bacterial small subunit ribosomal RNA", at positions 29 to 507 of the family's 1533-position model. The record is from RNAcentral.
AGUGAACGCUGGCGGUAGGCCUAACACAUGCCAGUCGAACGGCAGCACAGUAAGAGCUUGCUCUUACGGGUGGCGAGUGGCGGACGGGUGAGGAAUACAUCGGAAUCUACUUUUUCGUGGGGGAUAACGUAGGGAAACUUACGCUAAUACCGCAUACGACCUACGGGUGAAAGCAGGGGAUCUUCGGACCUUGCGCGAUCGAAUGAGCCGAUGUCGGAUUAGCUAGUUGGCGGGGUAAAGGCCCACCAAGGCGACGAUCCGUAGCUGGUCUGAGAGGAUGAUCGGCCACACUGGAACUGAGACACGGUCCAGACUCCUACGGGAGGCAGCAGUGGGGAAUAUUGGACAAUGGGCGCAAGCCUGAUCCAGCCAUACCGCGUGGGUGAAGAAGGCCUUCGGGUUGUAAAGCCCUUUUGUUGGGAAAGAAAAGCAGCAGGUUAAUACCCCGCUGUUCUGACGGUACCCAAAGAAUAAGCACCGGCUAACUUCGUG